RNAcentral lists this long non-coding RNA (3025 nucleotides) under Canis lupus familiaris (dog). RNAcentral describes it as "lncRNA (ENSCAFG00845005816.1)". Lineage: Eukaryota; Metazoa; Chordata; Mammalia; Carnivora; Canidae. The record is from RNAcentral.
GACUACGGCUAACACUUCUGAUUGGUCAGUGCCAGUGCCAUACCAGUUAAAAUACCACAUUGUUGACAUAUUUAUAUACGUACAUAUGAACAACCAGGGGAAUGAACCUUUCUGUUUCGUUCAUUACAGUAUUCAUUCUCUCCUUGAACAGUCCCUGACAUCCAGUAGACUUACAUAAUUGCUAAAAGAAAAAUAAAGUGUGUUUAUACUUAUGGUGUCAAAGAAGUAAGGUCUGAAGCAGGGGAACCACAUGAUCAGUCAGGAUUUGGGAACUACUUGAUGAGUCCUAGGAGCAGGAAAGACAUCGGAGUUAAGAGAAUCUGUGUAUGAUACUUUUUUAUGGACAGCCAAAUGAUCUUUCCUUUGGUUAGCCUUGCUUCACAACAUUAAUUUGCUCUUUCCAGGAAGGUUGAAUAUAAUCGAGGAUUGGGUUUCAGGUCCCAAAUUGCCUCAUUAAUGACCAAAUAGGAGACCCAGAGUCAGAAACUAAUCUUACACUAAGCCCACAAGGCGUGGAAGCCUGUGGGAAGGCUUUUAUGUGAUGAGGUAAUCUUACUCAGGAGUUUUGUGUGCAGUUUCCUGGGAUGGUAGAGACACAGUCACCCAUAAAACGAGCCUGAAAGCCUAACUAACCAGAGCUGUUCCUGUUUCCUGACUGCUGGGCACGCGCGCGCGCGCACACACACACACACACACACACACACACACACACAAAGAAAGAAUGGGCACUGUGGAUGCUUACUACUAACCAGAGAGCUGCUCAGGUAAAACUCCCCUACACCAACCUGGGCACCAUUGUCAGCAUGCCCCCAUCAGGGUAAGAGAUGGACAAGAGACACACGCAUUUCACAUCACUUCUGCAGAGUCCAAAAAAAUUGAGUGCAGUGCAUUAAGAAUCCCAUAACACUUCCUGCCUUUACUUAAUAUCUACCUGUGAAUGUCUCUGAACUUCUGAAGCUAUUCCAAGCCAGUGACAUGUUAUUUUUUAUUUUUACUUUGUGAGAUAUAAUCUUCCAUUUGUUCCAAAUUUGUCUUUUUCAGUGUUCAAGGAGUACCUGCUAAACCUUGCAUUUUAUAAUUUGGUGAUUAUUUAGUGCCACACUUCUUAAUGUCUCCUGUCUUUAUGUAAUCAGCCCCAGAUGAAAGUAGUUCUUCAGUAGGCCCCACAUACUUUGGGGAACUGCAAGGCACCCAGGUGCGAACUGUAAACUGCCUCUUGGGUCCAUUACUCUCUUCUCCAUCACACCAAAGAGGUUCUGUGUUUUCUUAAUGAUAGCAAGAUAAUUGAGAUGGAACAAGGUGGCGCUCUGCCCUCUCAUUUCAGCUCUCAUGCUGUAAAUAAGUUUCCUGUUUUUGAUUCAUUCAGUGCCAUGUUAUUUUGCAUUUUUGUCCUUUGUUGAUUCCUCUGUUUAAAAUGGCUCCCAGUGUAGCACUAAAGUGGUAUCUAGUAUUCCUAAAUGUAAAAAAGGCUGCGAUGUUUCUUGCAGAAGAAAUAAAUGGGCUAGAUAAGAUUCAUUCAGGCAUGAGCUGUACAGUGCUAUUGGCCAUGAGUUCAGUUCUUAGUGUGUCAACCAUAUAAGAGAUCCUUAAACAGGAACGUACAGAAAACAAAGUUAUGGGUUGGUUGAUGAAAAUGUUUUGACUAGAGGUUCAAAGGAACCUCAUGUUGUAUUUCUCCUUGGAAUUAGUGUUCCCAGCAACUUAAUAGAACACAACUACCACAAAUAGUAUGAAUAAGAAUCAAUUGCAGUUGUGAGUAAUUGAACAUGCACUACUGUGUUUGUCUUACUAAGGUUAAUAGAUACAAAUUUAUUGCUUCCUCAGAAAAUACUUAUUGAGCAGCUACCAUGCACUGGGCCAUGGGAAUACAGCCUUGCACAAGAGUCCUUAACUUCAUGUAUCUUAUAGCCUGGUAGGGGCAUGAUAUUUUAAAAUGUUCUGCAAACACACAGAACAACUGUGAGUCUGAUGUUAAUGACCAAUUCUAUCACAACAGGGGAUGGACAAAAUUCUUAACCGGAAGGGACUAGGCAAUGUCUGUUUUUUUUUUUUUUUAAGAUUUUAUUUAUUUAUUCAUAAGAGAUACAGAGAGAGGCAGAGACAUAGGCAGAGGGAGAAGCAGGCUCCAUGCAGGGAGCCCGAUGUGGGACUCGAUCUGGGGACUCCAGGAUCACACCCUGGGCCCAAGGCAGGUGCUAAACCCCUGAGCCACCCAGAGAUCCCCAGCAAUGUCUGUUUUAUCAGUUCUUUCCCACCUGUUCUGUCCAUUCUCCUAUCUGCACUAAAAUGUAAUCAGAUCCUCUUCAGUCAGUCCAGGAUCCUGGGAGAAUCUUGAUAGAAAGCAAGUUAAUAGGUCCUUUCCUACUCAUAAGAGAGGUCUGGAAAAAGCCUAGUCCAAGUGUCGCAAAAAGGUCAUGUUUGUGAUACUAACUGAUUACAGCUGCAGCUGCUCGCAUCACUGUAAUAAGAAUGACCAUGGCGCCCUCCUGGGCUGAGCAGAGAAAAGGGCUGGAAUCUCAUAGUAACAGCUGCUGUGUUUUGUAUUUGCGUAACUCAUCAUGGCUGCCCUAUAUCUGAUAUUUGAAUAUCUGGAAGCACAUAGAAUCAAUGAUCCACUUACUGCAUGGUGAUAAAUAUAUAGACUUUCUACUUAAUCAGGGCUAGACUGUGAUUCUAAACUCUUUUGCUAUGCACUUUACUAUUUUCCAUAUGAUUCUAAGAAUCUUCCUUGUCCAAAACAUCUCGUGUCUCACUUUGCAGUCUUUCUUUGUAUACUAACAUCUGCCCUUUGAACUUGUUUUGGGACCACAUGCUCAUCCUCAGAAAGGGAGCCACCAACUCCCCACUUAAAUUUGUGAUGACUCAUUCAUUCCCUGCUAACCCCUCUUCCAGCAGAACAUCUUCAAGAGGCUAAUACAUGAUUUAUAAGCCCUUUUCUCAUCUAGAUCCUUUCUCAUCAUGCCGGUUUGUAUCAUUCAUCCUCUUGUGUGACCCAGGAUGGUGUGAGACCCCUCCAGUCCGCUAG